Molecule: long non-coding RNA, 2778 nt
Organism: Phascolarctos cinereus (koala)
Lineage: Eukaryota; Metazoa; Chordata; Mammalia; Diprotodontia; Phascolarctidae
Source: RefSeq, a predicted model, not a curated record
CCCAAAUGUGGGCAGGAAGAGUCAGACGGGACUAAACAAGAACAACAAUUGUUUUCAGAAUCCCUGAUUUGUAGUAUAGAUUGGAUCUGCUACUGAUAAUCACUAACCCAAAGCCCUUUUUCUUCCUUCCCCACCUCCAUUAUUACCCCUGAGAUACUUGACCUCCUUUUAAACUUUUUCAUUGUUUUCUGUUUCUUACAUCACCAGGGUAUCCCAUGUAUCCCUCCCUCUCCCCAUCCUCAAGAGCCAUGUCAUGUGAUAAAGAGUAUUUUUUUUCUUUUAGGGAGGAAAAGAAAAAUGAGCACAACUGAUUGGUGCAGGUGGAAAAGGUGUGCAAUGUAUAACACCUGUGGACCUCUUAAGUCCUGGCUGAGGAAGGAAAAGAAAAGUGAGCACAACUGAUCAAUGCAUUUGGGCAAACGUGUGCAAUGUGUAACACCUGAGGACCUCUCACUUCCUGAAUGGGGGUCUUUUCCAAUGCGUCCCAUUUUCUCAUGAUGUGGCCACAGUCUUUAAGCUUCAGCUUCAGCAUUUGACCUUCCAGUGAAUGGACUGAAUUAAUUUCUUGAAGAGGUAGUGUUCUGGAUCAAGAGCAAAGUCAUCUGAAAUCACCUCCCUUCCUGGACGAGUUCCAAAGCACAGACACAACUCAAAGUACCUAAGAGCACUGCAAAAUCAGGCAUGAAUCCAUCAUGGACUCACAGGGAAUUGAUGACAUGCCAAAUUAAGGUUGGAGAGGAGAGCCUCGAGUAUCUACUUUGUAAGGAUUAGUACAGAGGGGAGGGAAAGAUACCCCAAAAAAACAGGACUUAAAAUGACUAUCAUUGGUUUGCAUUUGACUUUAAUUUUGCAAUCCUGAGAUAAUCAAUUUUACAUCUGACAAAUGAACAAAGACAAAAGCAACACUGAAAGUUUCAUAAAAGCAUGUUUCUUCAGUUUUGGCACAGCUAUAUAAGAAGAGUUCUUCUUGGGUGGGGGGGGAGUUACUACAUUCUACAGGAGGGAAAAACAGAAUUCGACAGGUUACAUAACAUUUGAAGGUCCAGGAGAAUUCUUGGUUUGGAUAGAAACGAUUAUCAUUCUCCGCUGGUAAAGCUGUUCCAACAAGAGUCCUCUGCCACAAAACAGAAAGAGUGGGCAGUUCAACAAAGUGUCUUGUGAAAUGGCUCCUCUCUGGCUUUUUGGCCUUGCUGUUCGAUCAUCGUUCCAGGAAACACCUUGGAAUCCUCUGAUGCCUCUGUUUGGUAAAUAACUAGGGGUGCCAAGUGAGCUUUGAGAUUACGCUUCAUUUAAAACAUUGAUAACUAGUUUGAAAGCUUCAUCUAUUUAUUGGGGAGACAACAAAAUCGAGUUUAAAAUAAUGUUUUUACAGAAUAAACCGAGAGGAUGAGAACACAAGUUAACACUGGGGACGUUAUUGCUUUAAGUUGCUGUUUAUAUUAAGUUUCCAAGCGGAACUGAUUUUAGUUGAAGAUAUUUGGGAACUCCAAGUCCCAUGCUGGAGCAUAACAGUGCAACAUUCUCAACAUCUGCAAUACUUUGUAUACACACUAAAUGAAGUCGUUUAAAUAUUUCUGUCUCAGGCAGAAGCAAAUGCUAACCUGAAGCUACAACACAUCCCCAGUGCAGCAAAAACAGACCAAGAGUUUGUCAUCUCAGACAACACUUACAGCCUGCAGAAAGGGGUAGAGAAUACUGUGCAUUUGAAAUCGAAGAGCGUUUCUGUCAGCAAACUAAGUCUAAUAAGAAGGGAAAGGAUAGUACGGACACACAAGAAUAUGUGAAGUAUAGUCUGCAGGGGGAACUCCCAAACUACAAGUGUUUGUCUAACAGGUAGAAAGCCACAGACAUAGAGAACCUCAGAGCUGCCCUAAGCCAAGCUGUGGCACUCAUCUAGUGUGGUUCAACUAAUAAACCAAAGAUGGAUCUAAAAGGAUCACUUCUGAAACGUACACAACAGUGGCGCUCAGAACGUCUGUCAGUAGUCAUCCAGAACACAUUAAUGUAUGAAAUGAGCUUCAAUUCCCCUGUGAGGUAGGUCCAGAUUUGUUAUCCUACAAGGACGUGAGGUACAGAGGAAUUAAGUCACUUGUCGAAGAGAACUCAGCAGAGCCCUGAAUUCGGCCAGGAAUGACUUGCAUUUGGAUUUCUAAACCAUUUGACUUUCCAUGUCUCUGUAGCAUCCAUCCUAUUCCCACAGAUCUGCAGGGAGUGGCUCUUUGAAAAAGUGAGCCAGAUGCUAAGAUGUGAAAUUCCUACCCUAUAAAAUGUCAAAAUGGGGCUUCCCUCCCACCCCCAUCUGCCCCUGUCAUCAUAGUUGGGAUUCUUGCCUGGAUAGCAGUUGGCAACUGCGCAUUCAGAUUCCAAAGACUCAAGGAGCCAGCAUCCCUCAGGGCCUUAGCCCCUCCCUGGUGAUGAGGCCCCUCUAGAAGAGGCAUUAGUGCUUACCACUAGGGAGGGGCUCAGGUUGAGGGGGAGGGAGGCAAGGGGAUGGAGAGGAACUUCAGCUUCCUUGGGUCUUUGGGAUCUAAAUAUGCAGCAGCCACUGUACACUUAGUUGAUCACCAAAUACCUAUCUAGUCAAUGGCUACUAAGUGUGAGGCACUGAGAAUUUAAGCUAUGUGUGGCAGAAUUAGGGAGGACCCAGGUGGUGGUGGCUCUUAGGUGUUCUUCCUCUAAGGUAAGAAUUCAGUAUUAAGUGUUCCACUCCCGAAUUUUCCACGAUCUGGGAGACUGGAACCAACAAAAUAGAAAACGUGUGCUCAGAGUCAGGAGAAA